This is a small nuclear RNA of Cucurbita pepo subsp. pepo (vegetable marrow), 108 nucleotides long. The record is from RefSeq and is a predicted model, not a curated record. Lineage: Eukaryota; Viridiplantae; Streptophyta; Magnoliopsida; Cucurbitales; Cucurbitaceae.
GUUUUCCACGCCUUGAGACAUAUGAUAAAAUUGGAACUAUAUAGAGAAGAUGAGCAUGACCUCUGUGCAAGGAUGGCAGACACAAAUCGAGAAAUCGUCCAAAUUUUU